This 434-nucleotide ribosomal RNA is filed under the name uncultured bacterium. RNAcentral's name for it is "partial 16S ribosomal RNA". It matches the Rfam family "Bacterial small subunit ribosomal RNA", at positions 29 to 507 of the family's 1533-position model. The record is from RNAcentral.
AGCGAACGCUGGCGGCAGGCCUAACACAUGCCAGUCGAACGAACCUUUCGGGGUUAGUGGCGGACGGGUGAGUAACACGUGGGAACGUGCCUUUAGGUUCGGAAUAACUCAGGGAAACUUGUGCUAAUACCGAAUGUGCCCUUCGGGGGAAAGAUUAAUCGCCUUUAGAGCGGCCCGCGUCUGAUUAGCUAGUUGGUUGAGGUAAUGGCUCACCAAGGCGACGAUCAGUAGCUGGUCUGAGAGGAUGAUCAGCCACAUUGGGACUGAGACACGGCCCAAACUCCUACGGGAGGCAGCAGUGGGGAAUCGUGCGCAAUGGGCGAAAGCCUGACGCAGCCAUGCCGCGUGAAUGAUGAAGGUCUUAGGAUUGUAAAAUUCUUUCACCGGGGACGAUAAUGACGGUACCCGGAGAAGAAGCCCCGGCUAACUUCGUG